AAUAUUUUAAUAAAAAACCAAGUAAGAACUGACUCCAUUAACAAGGGAGGCCCUACAAUAUACAUUCUCUCAACAUUUUAAUACUAAGAAGAUAAGGUGGUGAUGCCCAAUUGGACAACUUCCAUGACUAUAAUUCAGAGUAAAGAAAAGAUCCAACCAAACAAAAGCAUUAACAUCUUCUCUUUUAAAACUUUUUUAUUCACGCAGUCUCGGUCAAUU
Molecule: long non-coding RNA, 219 nt
Filed under: Carica papaya (papaya)
Lineage: Eukaryota; Viridiplantae; Streptophyta; Magnoliopsida; Brassicales; Caricaceae
Description: long non-coding RNA (CPAP_LNC008537)
Source: RNAcentral